RNAcentral lists this ribosomal RNA (469 nucleotides) under uncultured bacterium. RNAcentral describes it as "partial 16S ribosomal RNA". It matches the Rfam family "Bacterial small subunit ribosomal RNA", at positions 28 to 507 of the family's 1533-position model. The record is from RNAcentral.
GACGAACGCUGGCGGCGUGCUUAACACAUGCAAGUCGAACGGAAAGGCCCUGCUUGCCGGGUGCUCGAGUGGCGAACGGGUGAGUAACACGUGGGUGAUCUGCCCCUUACUUUGGGAUAAGCCUGGGAAACUGGGUCUAAUACUGGAUAGGACCAUGCUGUAGGUGGUGUGGUGGAAAGAUUAGUUUCGGUAAGGGAUGAGCUCGCGGCCUAUCAGCUUGUUGGUGGGGUAAUGGUCUACCAAGGCGUCGACGGGUAGCCGGCCUGAGAGGGUGGACGGCCGCAUAGGGACUGAGAUACAGCCCAGACUCCUACGGGGGGCAGCAGUGGGGAAUAAUGGACAAUGGGCGCAAGCCUGAUGCAGCGACGCCGCGUGAGGGAUGACGGCCUUCGGGUUGUAAACGCCUUUCAGCCAUGACGAAGCCCUUGUGGUGACGGUAGUGGUAGAAGAAGCACCGGCUAACUACGUG